Exaiptasia diaphana is the source of this 217-nucleotide long non-coding RNA. RefSeq lists it as uncharacterized. The transcript has 3 exons. NCBI's taxonomy places the organism in Eukaryota, Metazoa, Cnidaria, Anthozoa, Actiniaria, Aiptasiidae. The record is from RefSeq and is a predicted model, not a curated record.
GAAAUGAGCACACGAUGUGAGGACGACUCGGUUGAUGUUUAUGAUGGUGGUAAACGGAUUGGUCGAUAUUGCGGUAUAAGUUAUCCAACCUUCAUUCAGUCAACUACAAACCACCUUUCAGUGCUGUUUCGAUCAGACGCGAAGACCAUUCGUACAGGGUUUUUGGCGCGAUACCGAUUCCUGAAAGAUAAUGACACAAACAAAGACUGUUUACAAG